CCCCAGACUCCUACGGGAGGCAGCAGUGGGGAAUAUUGCACAAUGGGGGAAACCCUGAUGCAGCAACGCCGCGUGAGUGAAGAAGUCAUUCGUGAUGUAAAGCUCUAUCAGCAGGGAAGAAAAUGACGGUACCUGAAGAAGAAGCCCCGGCUAACUACGUGCCAGCAGCCGCGGCAAUACGUAGGGGGCAAGCGUUAUCCGGAUUUACUGGGUGUAAAGGGAGCGUAGACGGCAGUGCAAGUCCGGAGUGAAAGCCCGGGGCUCAACCCUGGGACUGCUCUGGAAACUGUAAAGCUGGAGUGCGGGAGGGGCAGGCGGAAUUCCUGGUGUAGCGGUGAAAUGCGUAGAUAUCAGGAGGAACACCGGCGGCGAAGGCGGCCUGCUGGACCGUAACUGACGUUGAGGCUCGAAAGCGUGGGGAGCAAACAGGAUUAGAUACCCCCGUAU
RNAcentral lists this ribosomal RNA (447 nucleotides) under uncultured bacterium. RNAcentral's name for it is "bacterial SSU rRNA". It matches the Rfam family "Bacterial small subunit ribosomal RNA", at positions 329 to 793 of the family's 1533-position model. The record is from RNAcentral.